Molecule: ribosomal RNA, 552 nt
Filed under: Papiliotrema flavescens
Lineage: Eukaryota; Fungi; Basidiomycota; Tremellomycetes; Tremellales; Rhynchogastremaceae
Description: eukaryotic LSU rRNA
Rfam family: Eukaryotic large subunit ribosomal RNA
Source: RNAcentral
ACGGCGAGUGAACCGGGAAGAGCUCAAAUUUGAAAUCUGGCGUGCUCAGUGCGUCCGAGUUGUAAUCUAUAGAGGCGUUUUCCGUGCCGGACUGUGUCUAAGUCCCUUGGAACAGGGUAUCAAAGAGGGUGAUAAUCCCGUACUUGACACAAUGACCGGUGCUCUGUGAUACGUCUUCUACGAGUCGAGUUGUUUGGGAAUGCAGCUCAAAAUGGGUGGUGAGUUCCAUCUAAAGCUAAAUAUUGGCGAGAGACCGAUAGCGAACAAGUACCGUGAGGGAAAGAUGAAAAGCACUUUGGAAAGAGAGUUAAACAGUACGUGAAAUUGUUGAAAGGGAAACGAUUGAAGUCAGUCGUGACUGAGAGGCUCAGCCGGUUCUGCCGGUGUAUUCCCCUCAGUCGGGUCAACAUCAGUUUUGUUCGGUGGAUAAGGGCAGCUGGAAGGUGGCACCUCCGGGUGUGUUAUAGCCAGCUGUCGCAUACAUCGAAUGAGACUGAGGAAUGCAGCUCGCCUUUAUGGCCGGGGUUCGCCCACGUCCGAGCUUAGGAUGUG